CCUACGUGUGGCAGCAGUGAGGAAUAUUGGUCAAUGGCCGGAAGGCUGAACCAGCCAAGCCGCGUGAAGGACGAAGGUGCCACGCCUUGUAAACUUCUUUUGUCAAGGGACAAAAUCAGGCUCGAGAGCCUGACCGCGGGUACUUGACGAGAAAGCAUCGGCUAACUCCGUGCCAGCAGCCGCGGUACUACGGGGGAUGCGAGCGUUAUCCGGUGUUAUGGGGUUUAAAGGGUGCGUAGGCGGGCUGUUAAGUCAGCGGUAAAAGCCCGGGGCUCAACCCCGGCGAGCCGUUGAAACUGGCUGUCUUGAGAUGUCGAGAGGUAUGCGGAAUGUGCAGUGUAGCGGUGAAAUGCUUAGAUAUUGCGCAGAACUCCGAUUGCGAAGGCAGCAUACCGGCGGCGAUCUGACGCUGAGGCACGAAAGCGUGGGUAUCGAACAGGAUUAGAUACCCCAGUAGUC
This 459-nucleotide ribosomal RNA is filed under the name uncultured bacterium. RNAcentral's name for it is "partial 16S ribosomal RNA". It matches the Rfam family "Bacterial small subunit ribosomal RNA", at positions 338 to 795 of the family's 1533-position model. The record is from RNAcentral.